This 103-nucleotide small nuclear RNA is filed under the name Moschus moschiferus (Siberian musk deer). Lineage: Eukaryota; Metazoa; Chordata; Mammalia; Artiodactyla; Moschidae. The record is from RNAcentral.
GUGCUCACUUUGGCAGCACAUACUAAAAACUGGAAUAAUACAGAGAUUAGCAUGGCUCUUGUGCAUGCAUGACAUGCAGAUUUGUGAAGUAUUUCAUAUUUUU